This is a long non-coding RNA of Falco peregrinus (peregrine falcon), 450 nucleotides long. RefSeq lists it as uncharacterized. The transcript has 4 exons. NCBI's taxonomy places the organism in Eukaryota, Metazoa, Chordata, Aves, Falconiformes, Falconidae. The record is from RefSeq and is a predicted model, not a curated record.
UGCAGGUGAGAACUCGGGAUCUACCUUUCAUACGUCAUCAUCAGCUGAAAAAGAAGACAUGCAGGAUGCCAUUGAAUAUUGUGGGGUGUGGGUUGAGAAGGAAAAAGCAAACAAAGAUGUUCAAAAGUGCAGGCGGUGGCAAAACAGCAAUGUCUGGACAAAUUAAAUACACCACCAGGCAACAUCACUAAUCGGCAAAUGAAACAAAAGAUUACUGUAAGGAAGAAUGACUGUUUGAAAAUGGAGAAUGAAAACACGAUAGAAGAAAAAGACAAAAAGAUUUUUUCAUCUGGGGAGAGCUCAAAAUUGAUUAAAAUGCCAAUGAAAUGACCUGCAGCAACAACCAGGAGUGAAAAGAACAAGAGGCUGUGGAUGCCCGGUGCAGCUGUCUCCGGUGGAGCGACCAGCACUCGGGGGAUGCAGGCUGCUCCUGCCCACGCCUUCCCCAGG